CUGCGAAUAUUCUCGCUGUUCUGAUUUUGUAAUAAUCAGGGCAGGCUAAACAUUCGCUAUAUUAAGACCAUGCAUGUGUCCCCAGACCUAGUUCUUUUCCUAGGUCUGGUUUUAUAAAUGCUGGUGAUAAAC
Molecule: small nucleolar RNA, 132 nt
Organism: Phocoena sinus (vaquita)
Lineage: Eukaryota; Metazoa; Chordata; Mammalia; Artiodactyla; Phocoenidae
Gene: SNORA72
Rfam family: Small nucleolar RNA SNORA72
About the family: U72 is a member of the H/ACA class of snoRNAs.
Source: Ensembl